This 253-nucleotide ribosomal RNA is filed under the name uncultured bacterium. Its description in RNAcentral is "partial 16S ribosomal RNA". It matches the Rfam family "Bacterial small subunit ribosomal RNA", at positions 524 to 776 of the family's 1533-position model. The record is from RNAcentral.
UACGUAGGGGGCAAGCGUUGUCCGGAUUUAUUGGGCGUAAAGAGCGUGUAGGCGGCCAUACAGGUCCGUUGUGAAAACUGGAGGCUUAACCUCCAGACGUCGAUGGAAACCGUAUGGCUAGAGUCCGGAAGAGGAGAGUGGAAUUCCUGGUGUAGCGGUGAAAUGCGCAGAUAUCAGGAAGAACACCCGUGGCGAAGGCGGUUCUCUGGGACGGUACUGACGCUGAGACGCGAAAGCGUGGGGAGCGAACAGG